UACGUAGGGUGCAAGCGUUAAUCGGAAUUACUGGGCGUAAAGCGUGCGCAGGCGGUUUUGUAAGUCUGAUGUGAAAUCCCCGGGCUCAACCUGGGAAUUGCGUUGGAGACUGCAAGGCUAGAAUCUGGCAGAGGGGGGUAGAAUUCCACGUGUAGCAGUGAAAUACGUAGAGAUGUGGAGGAACACCGAUGGCGAAGGCAGCCCCCUGGGUCAAGAUUGACGCUCAUGCACGAAAGCGUGGGGAGCAAACAGG
This 253-nucleotide ribosomal RNA is filed under the name uncultured bacterium. Its description in RNAcentral is "partial 16S ribosomal RNA". It matches the Rfam family "Bacterial small subunit ribosomal RNA", at positions 524 to 776 of the family's 1533-position model. The record is from RNAcentral.